Molecule: ribosomal RNA, 337 nt
Filed under: Artibeus concolor (brown fruit-eating bat)
Lineage: Eukaryota; Metazoa; Chordata; Mammalia; Chiroptera; Phyllostomidae
Description: partial 12S ribosomal RNA
Rfam family: Bacterial small subunit ribosomal RNA
Source: RNAcentral
AACCCUAGUCAAUAGAUCCACGGCGUAAAACGUGUUUAAGGAAAGUUCUCAUAAAGUCAAACCCUAGCUACGCUGUAAAAAGCUAUAGCUACUGUAAGCCCUAACACGAAAGUAACUUUAAAACACCUGAAUACACGACAGCUAAGGCCCAAACUGGGAUUAGAUACCCCACUAUGCUUAGCCCUAAACCUAAAGAGUCCUUACAACAAGACUCUUCGCCAGAGUACUACUAGCCAAAGCUUAAAACUCAAGGGACUUGGCGGUGCUUCAUAUCCCUCUAGAGGAGCCUGUUCUAUAAUCGACAAACCCCGAUCAACCUCACCAACCCUUGCCAACU